GGGGAUGUAGUUCAGUGGUAGAGCACUUGCCUGGAAUGCAUGAGGCCCUGGGUUCAAUCCCUAGUAGCACAA
This 72-nucleotide transfer RNA is filed under the name Heterocephalus glaber (naked mole-rat). It matches the Rfam family "tRNA". From Rfam's summary of the family: Transfer RNA (tRNA) molecules are approximately 80 nucleotides in length. Their secondary structure includes four short double-helical elements and three loops (D, anti-codon, and T loops). The record is from Rfam by way of RNAcentral. Lineage: Eukaryota; Metazoa; Chordata; Mammalia; Rodentia; Bathyergidae.